Molecule: long non-coding RNA, 241 nt
Filed under: Gossypium barbadense (sea-island cotton)
Lineage: Eukaryota; Viridiplantae; Streptophyta; Magnoliopsida; Malvales; Malvaceae
Description: long non-coding RNA (GBAR_LNC017214)
Source: RNAcentral
GGAAAUGAAUGAUUUGAGUUAUGUAUUUACAGUAAUGCUCCGUAACCCUAUUUCAGUGACAAAUACGGGGUGUUACAUCGUGUUUACUGUCCCGACGGACUUACCUCGUCUUUACUGUCCCAACAGAUUAUUUAUGUUCUGUGUUUAUUGUCCCAAUGGACUAUCUCUAUUUUGUGUUUACUGCCCCAACAGACUAUCUUUGUUAUGCCAUAGAGUCUUUCAUCCAUGGUCUUACUCAUCC